AGGAUGGUCAGCCACACUGGGACUGAGACACUGCCCAGACUCCUACGGGAGGCUGCAGUCGAGGAUCAUUCGCAAUGGGCGAAAGCCUGACGAUGCGACGCUGCGUGGAGGAUGAAGGCCUUCGGGUUGUAAACUCCUGUCGUCCGGGAAAAAUGGGUUCCGGGGGAAUAUCCCGGGACCGUGAUGGUACCGGAGGAGGAAGCCACGGCUAACUCUGUGCCAGCAGCCGCGGUAAUACAGAGGUGGCGAGCGUUGUUCGGAUUUACUGGGCGUAAAGGGUGCGUAGGCGGUUCCGCAUGUCGGUUGUGAAAUCCCCCGGCUCAACCGGGGAAGGUCAUCCGAAACUGCGGGGCUAGAGUGCAGGAGGGGAGAGCGGAAUUCUUGGUGUAGCGGUGAAAUGCGUUGAUAUCAAGAGGAACGCCGGUGGCGAAGGCGGCUCUCUGGAAUGCAACUGACGCUGAGGCACGAGAGCGUGGGGAGCAAACAGGAUUAGAUACCCUGGUAGUCCACGCUGUAAACGGUGUGCGCUUGGUGUUGGGGGGGUGAAAGCCUCCAGUGCCGGAGCUAACGCGUUAAGUGCACCGCCUGGGAAGUACGGUCGCAAGACUAAAACUCAAAGAAAUUGACGGGGGCCCGCACAAGCGGAGGAGCAUGUGGCUUAAUUCGAUGCGACGCGAAGAACCUUACCAGGGCUUGACAUGCAGCUGCACGUCCCGUGAAAGCGGGAUUCCUUCGAGGGUGCUGCACAGGUGCUGCACGGCUGUCGUCAGUUCGUGCCGUGAGGUGUUUGGUUAAGUCCAGCAACGAACGCAACCCCUGUGUUCUGUUGCGACCGCCGGUGAAAGCCGGCGCGCACUCUGAACAGACUGCCCGUAUAAGCAGGAGGAAGGUGGGGAUGACGUCAAGUCAGUAUGGCCCUUACGUCCUGGGCUGCACACGUGCUACAAUGGCCGGUACAGAGGGUUGCAAGACCGCGAGGUGGAGCUAAUCCCCAAAACCGGCCCCAGUUCAGAUUGCAGUCUGCAACUCGACUGCAUGAAGUUGGAUUCGCUAGUAACGGCGCAUCAGCUACGGCGCCGUGAAUACGUUCCCGGGCCUUGUACACACCGCCCGUCACAUCAUGAAAGCCGUCUGCACCCGCAGUCGCUGAGCCAACCCGCAAGGGAGGCAGGCGCCGAAGGUGUGGGUGGUGAUUGGGAUGAAGUCGUAACAAGGUA
RNAcentral lists this ribosomal RNA (1217 nucleotides) under metagenome. Its description in RNAcentral is "bacterial SSU rRNA". It matches the Rfam family "Bacterial small subunit ribosomal RNA", at positions 297 to 1498 of the family's 1533-position model. The record is from RNAcentral.